RNAcentral lists this transfer RNA (78 nucleotides) under Flavobacteriales bacterium. Its description in RNAcentral is "tRNA-Ala". It matches the Rfam family "tRNA". Rfam says of the family: Transfer RNA (tRNA) molecules are approximately 80 nucleotides in length. Their secondary structure includes four short double-helical elements and three loops (D, anti-codon, and T loops). The record is from RNAcentral. Lineage: Bacteria; Pseudomonadati; Bacteroidota; Flavobacteriia; Flavobacteriales.
GGGGGAUUAGCUCAGCUUGGCUAGAGCACUUGCCUUGCACGCAAGGGGUCAUCGGUUCGAGUCCGAUAUCCUCCACAA